GUUUCUGUUGUUUUGAAGUCCAGCUUUAAUCCAUGGUGGUCUGAUAAGAUACAAGGCAUAAUUUCAAUUUUCUUGUAUCUGUUGAGGCUUGCUUUGUGACUGACUAUAUGGUCAGUCUUGGAGAAGGAUCUAUGUAUAAAGCAAAAUGUAAUGUUUACGUUGUGGAUUGGUGGUUUCCUGAAGAAGGGGUGGUCUCUUGAUGGUCUCAAGAAUUCUAUGAAUGUCAAGAAUGUGGAAGAGUCUGGGACUCUGAUUUGAAGGCAAUUUCACCUGAACUCCAUUCCUCUUUGUGACUGAAAUGGACAUAUGCUUAACAGUAGAGCUUCAUCUGGUACAGAUGAACCAGAAUCAGCAAGACAGUUUUUGAAGCUCAGUUUGCUGACUACCAACCUACAGUUUCUGAGUUCUGGUUUCCCAAGAGAAGACUGCCAAACACAAGGUCAGAAGAUCAGAAGACUGGGCUGUGAGAAUUUUCUCUGAUCUUGUUGGCAUCCAUACAAAUAAUACCUCUAAUGCUCUUUAUCUUCAUUUUGUCACUGAAAAUAAAAAGAUCAAGAUUGUUCCACAUCAAUAAGCUUGGAUUCCCUCCUUUCCACUGUUAAAAUCAGGAUCACAUUCUUUGAUGGUAAACACAAUUAUAAUCUGUCAGAAUUUAUUGAAUAGGUAUUGCUUAUGGCUCCAUUCCUUUGAUUUAUUGACUAUAAUUAUGGAAAUUAAUUUCUACAUAUUAAAGACAUGCAUAGCUUUGAAGAAAUGUAUUUAUAGUUGUAUAGCUUUUAUUAUAGAGAAAUAUGUAGAGAUAAGAAAUCAAGAUUCAGAUCUUGAGCUUUUAAAAGAGGAGAUGUUUAAUUUUUAUAAACUUAUGUGAAGUGGUAUACAAAAUCCAGAAAGAUCACAACUGAGACUCACUGAUUUCCAUAUACAUUCUGAAAUCAUUCACAGCUUCUCUUAAUAGAUACUGAGAUCCUUUUGCAUAAGUGGAGACAGAAUACUGAACAACAUAGAAAUGCUUCCUGCCCCUGUGCUGUUCAAAGGCUAGUGGGACAAAUAAACCUUGAAAUAAUAACUCC
Molecule: long non-coding RNA, 1070 nt
Filed under: Mus pahari (shrew mouse)
Lineage: Eukaryota; Metazoa; Chordata; Mammalia; Rodentia; Muridae
Description: predicted gene 15245 (MGP_PahariEiJ_G0006522.1)
Source: RNAcentral